Molecule: long non-coding RNA, 700 nt
Organism: Heterocephalus glaber (naked mole-rat)
Lineage: Eukaryota; Metazoa; Chordata; Mammalia; Rodentia; Bathyergidae
Source: Ensembl
GACAAUUCAUAUUUUAAUGUAUCAGUCUUAGAGACAAAUUUAACAUGGGGGCUGUGCAGAUUAUAACUGGCAAGUGGCAGUUAUGCCUUGAGUGUUGGCCAUCACCACAGGAGAAAAGGAGGCUUCCAGCAUAGAAGCAUAGAAGACAGCCAUAAUGACAGAAGAGGAGCGACAGCAUGAAUAUACAACUUCAUGAAUCAGAAUCAACAGUGGCUUGCAUCAAUAUCAGUGAAAGUUAUUAUCCCUUGUAGCCCAUGGCCAUGACAUACACAAGAAGAGGAGGCGCUGGGGUCCCACAUCCUUUCUAGAGCACGCCAUCAAUGUGCAGAAGACCCCCCUACACCGACCUGGUCUCAUCACUGUAGGGUUCCAGCUCUUCCCAAUAGUGCCAAGCUAGAGAUCAACCCUGAUAUGUAUGCCUUUGAGGGACAUUUAUUACUCCUGCUUUUUUUUCUAGUUAAUUCUUUUAUAAAACACAGAUUUGUAAAGGGUGGCAAGAACAAAGGGAAAGAGACUUCUCUCUAUGGUCAGCAAAAUUGGUGAUGUAGGAUUCGAUCAUUCAGAAGUCUUUAACUCUACCGUGGUCAUUACAACUACUGUGGUCUCAAUUCUUCUCUAUCUUGCAUUACAAAUAAAAUAAACAUCUCUAAGUUCUUCUAUGUCAUUCCUUGAUAAGGUUUUAUUGAUUACUACUUUUCCC